RNAcentral lists this ribosomal RNA (700 nucleotides) under uncultured bacterium. RNAcentral describes it as "bacterial SSU rRNA". It matches the Rfam family "Bacterial small subunit ribosomal RNA", at positions 8 to 704 of the family's 1533-position model. The record is from RNAcentral.
AGAGUUUGAUCCUGGCUCAGAUUGAACGCUGGCGGCAUGCCUUUACACAUGCAAGUCGAACGGUAGCAGGCCUUAGGGCGCUGACGAGUGGCGAACGGGUGAGUAAGACAUCGGAACGUGCCCGAUCGAGGGGGAUAACGGAGCGAAAGCUCUGCUAAUACCGCAUAAGAUCCGAGGAUGAAAGCAGGGGACCGAAAGGCCUUGCGCGGACGGAGCGGCUGAUGGCAGAUUAGGUAGUUGGUGGGAUAAAAGCCUACCAAGCCGACGAUCUGUAGCUGGUCUGAGAGGACGACCAGCCACACUGGGACUGAGACACGGCCCAGACUCCUACGGGAGGCAGCAGUGGGGAAUUUUGGACAAUGGGCGCAAGCCUGAUCCAGCCAUGCCGCGUGCAGGAUGAAGGCCCUCGGGUUGUAAACUGCUUUUGUACGGAACGAAAAGGCCCUGGUGAACAGCCGGGGUUGCUGACGGUACCGUAAGAAUAAGCACCGGCUAGCUACGUGCCAGCAGCCGCGGUAAUACGUAGGGUGCGAGCGUUAAUCGGAAUUACUGGGCGUAAAGCGUGCGCAGGCGGACAUGCAAGACAGAUGUGAAAUCCCCGGGCUCAACCUGGGAACUGCAUAUGUGACUGCAUGACUGGAGUACGGCAGAGGGGGAUGGAAUUCCGCGUGUAGCAGUGAAAUGCGUAGAUAUGCGGAGG